Molecule: unclassified non-coding RNA, 335 nt
Filed under: soil metagenome
Description: partial contains 5.8S ribosomal RNA, internal transcribed spacer 2, and large subunit ribosomal RNA
Rfam family: 5.8S ribosomal RNA (bases 1-120)
Source: RNAcentral
GAUGAAGAACGUAGCGAAAUGCGAUAAGUAAUGUGAAUUGCAGAAUUCAGUGAAUCAUCGAAUCUUUGAACGCACAUUGCGCCCGCUAGUAUUCUAGCGGGCAUGCCUGUUCGAGCGUCAUUUCAACCAUCAAGCCCCAGGCUUGUGUUGGAGCCCUGCGACCGUCCACAGCCUCCUAAAAUCAGUGGCGGGCUCGCUAUCACACCGAGUGCAGUAGUUUACUCUUCGCUCAGGACGUGUAGCGGGUUCCGGCCGUGAAACCCCCCAAUUUUCAAGGUUGACCUCGGAUCAGGUAGGAAUACCCGCUGAACUUAAGCAUAUCAAUAAGCGGAGGA